GAUGAACGCUGGCGGCGUGCCUAAUACAUGCCAGUCGAGCGAACAGACGAGGAGCUUGCUCCUCUGACGUUAGCGGCGGACGGGUGAGUAACACGUGGAUAACCUACCUAUAAGACUGGGAUAACUUCGGGAAACCGGAGCUAAUACCGGAUAAUAUAUUGAACCGCAUGGUUCAAUAGUGAAAGACGGUUUUGCUGUCACUUAUAGAUGGAUCCGCGCCGCAUUAGCUAGUUGGUAAGGUAACGGCUUACCAAGGCAACGAUGCGUAGCCGACCUGAGAGGGUGAUCGGCCACACUGGAACUGAGACACGGUCCAGACUACUACGGGAGGCAGCAGUAGGGAAUCUUCCGCAAUGGGCGAAAGCCUGACGGAGCAACGCCGCGUGAGUGAUGAAGGUCUUCGGAGCGUAAAACUCUGUUAUGAGGGAAGAACAAAUGUGGAAGUAACUAUGCACGUAUUGACGGUACCUAAUCAGAAAGCAACGGCUAACUACGUG
RNAcentral lists this ribosomal RNA (497 nucleotides) under uncultured bacterium. RNAcentral describes it as "partial 16S ribosomal RNA". It matches the Rfam family "Bacterial small subunit ribosomal RNA", at positions 28 to 507 of the family's 1533-position model. The record is from RNAcentral.